GAUGAACGCUGGCGGCGUGCCUAAUACAUGCAAGUCGAGCGAACGGACGAGCAGCUUGCUUCUCUGAUGUUAGCGGCGGACGGGUGAGUAACACGUGGAUAACCUACCUAUAAGACUGGGAUAACUUCGGGAAACCGGAGCUCACACCGGAUAAUAUUUUGAACCGCAUGGUUCAACAGUGAAAGCCGGUCUUGAUGUCACUUAUAGAUGGUUCCGCGCUGCAUUAGCUAGUUGGUAAGGUAACGGCUUACCAAGGCAACGAUGCAUAGCCGACCUGAGAGGGUGAUCGGCCACACUGGAACUGAGGCACGGUCCAGACUCCUACGGGAGGCAGCAGUAGGGAAUCUUCCGCAAUGGGCGAAAGCCUGACGGAGCAACGCCGCGUGAGUGAUGAAGGUCUUCGGAUCGUAAAACUCUGUUAGUGGGGAAGAACAGAUGUGUAAGUAACUGUGCACAUCUUGACGGUACCUAAUCAGAAAGCCACGGCUAACUACGUG
RNAcentral lists this ribosomal RNA (497 nucleotides) under uncultured bacterium. RNAcentral describes it as "partial 16S ribosomal RNA". It matches the Rfam family "Bacterial small subunit ribosomal RNA", at positions 28 to 507 of the family's 1533-position model. The record is from RNAcentral.